UGCAGCCUGCAGAAUUGCUCAACGUCGUGGAAUGCUGGAACGCCGAGGAAUGUGAACACGCUAUGGAAUGUUAACCCCGCCCACGUUGAGCCCGUGCAGUUGAUUCCCCUUCGUCAGUGCAGUUGUGAUUGCAGGAAAGGGGAAGAAUCCGUGGAGCAAAUUUUGUGUCAUUGUGAAUUGUAUGAGGAAGAAAGACGACAGCCAAAGAAGAGAGUACGGUUGAUAGAGGGUGCACUGCUGAGUUUGAAGAAGUUCUUUGGAGGGGAGGAACACACGCAUCAACAAAGAUACGGGACACGUUACAGUUUUAGUGGACGAUGACAAACCAACGCC
Molecule: non-coding RNA, 333 nt
Organism: Oryzias latipes (Japanese medaka)
Lineage: Eukaryota; Metazoa; Chordata; Actinopteri; Beloniformes; Adrianichthyidae
Source: RefSeq, a predicted model, not a curated record